This 253-nucleotide ribosomal RNA is filed under the name uncultured bacterium. RNAcentral's name for it is "partial 16S ribosomal RNA". It matches the Rfam family "Bacterial small subunit ribosomal RNA", at positions 524 to 776 of the family's 1533-position model. The record is from RNAcentral.
UACGGAGGGUGCAAGCGUUAUCCGGAUUCACUGGGUUUAAAGGGAGCGUAGGUGGGCAGGUAAGUCAGUGGUGAAAUCUUUGGGCUUAACCCGAAAACUGCCAUUGAUACUAUUUGUCUUGAAUUAUCUGGAGGUAAGCGGAAUAUGUCAUGUAGCGGUAAAAUGCUUAGAUAUGACAUAGAACACCCAUUGCGAAGGCAGCUUACUACGGAUAUAUUGACACUGAGGCUCGAAAGCGUGGGGAUCAAACAGG